GAUGAACGCUGGCGGCGUGCCUAAUACAUGCAAGUCGAGCGAACAGACGAGGAGCUUGCUCCUCUGACGUUAGCGGCGGACGGGUGAGUAACACGUGGAUAACCUACCUAUAAGACUGGGAUAACUUCGGGAAACCGGAGCUAAUACCGGAUAAUAUAUUGAACCGCAUGGUUCAAUAGUGAAAGACGGUUUUGCUGUCACUUAUAGAUGGAUCCGCGCCGCAUUAGCUAGUUGGUAAGGUAACGGCUUACCAAGGCAACGAUGCGUAGCCGACCUGAGAGGGUGAUCGGCCACACUGGAACUGAGACACGAUCCAGACUCCUACGGGAGGCAGCAGUAGGGAAUCUUCCGCAAAGGGCGAAAGCCUGACGGAGCAACGCCGCGUGAGUGAUGAAGGUCUUCGGAUCAUAAAACUCUGUUAUUAGGGAAGAACAAAUGUGUAAGUAACUAUGCACGUCUUGACGGUACCUAAUCAGAAAGCCACGGCUAACUACGUG
This 497-nucleotide ribosomal RNA is filed under the name uncultured bacterium. RNAcentral describes it as "partial 16S ribosomal RNA". It matches the Rfam family "Bacterial small subunit ribosomal RNA", at positions 28 to 507 of the family's 1533-position model. The record is from RNAcentral.